Molecule: ribosomal RNA, 497 nt
Filed under: uncultured bacterium
Lineage: Bacteria
Description: partial 16S ribosomal RNA
Rfam family: Bacterial small subunit ribosomal RNA
Source: RNAcentral
GAUGAACGCUGGCGGCGUGCCUAAUACAUGCAAGUCGAGCGAACAGACGAGGAGCUUGCUCCUCUUACGUUAGCGGCGGACGGGUGAGUAACACGUAGAUGACCUACCUAUAAGACUGGGAUAACUUCGGGAAACCUGAGCUCAUACCGGAUAAUAUAUUGAACCGGAUGGUUCAAUAGUGAACGACGGAUUUGCUGUCACUUAUAGAUGGAACCGCGCCGCAUUAGCUAGUUGGUAAGGUAACGGCCUACCAAGGCUACGAUGCGUAGCCGACCUGAGAGGGUGAUCGGCCACACUGGAACUGAGACACGGUCCAGACUCCUACGGGAGGCAGCAGUAGGGAAUCUUCCGCAAUGGGCGAAAGCCUGACGGAGCAACGCCGCGUGAGUGAUGAAGGUCUUCGGAUCGUAAAACUCUGUUAUUAGGGAAGAACAAAUGUGUAAGUAACUAUGCACGUCUUGACGGUACCUAAUCAGAAAGCCACGGCUAACUACGUG